This 351-nucleotide RNase P RNA is filed under the name Candidatus Liptonbacteria bacterium RIFOXYB1_FULL_36_10. Its description in RNAcentral is "RNase P RNA component class A". It matches the Rfam family "Bacterial RNase P class A". Rfam says of the family: Ribonuclease P (RNase P) is a ubiquitous endoribonuclease, found in archaea, bacteria and eukarya as well as chloroplasts and mitochondria. Its best characterised activity is the generation of mature 5'-ends of tRNAs by cleaving the 5'-leader elements of precursor-tRNAs. Lineage: Bacteria; Candidatus Liptoniibacteriota. RNAcentral also lists the same sequence under 2 other names. The record is from RNAcentral.
CUAGUUUAAAAGACGGCUAUCCGGUUUUUUUAAUAAAAACUGGAAGGAAAGUCCGGACGCUAGCCGGCAGAUAAUGCCGGUUUCAGGCAGUCGCUAACAGCGACGAGGAGUGAUCCUACGGAAAGCGCAACAGAAAAUAUACCACUCCACCUAAGGCGGAGAAAGGGUGAAAUCGUGCGGUAAGAGCGCACGCGUCCGAGGCGUAAGUUUCGGAUGUGGCAAACCCUGCCUGGCGCAAGGCCGUAUUCCAACGCUUUUAUGUUGGUUUGUGCCGCUUGAUCCCGAUGCGCAAGCUUCGGGACAGACAAAUUGCCGUCAAAUACAGAAUCCGGCUUAUUUUAAACUGGCAAA